AUUGAACGCUGGCGGCAUGCUUUACACAUGCAAGUCGAACGGCAGCGCGGGGCAACCUGGCGGCGAGUGGCGAACGGGUGAGUAAUACAUCGGAACGUACCCAGAAGUGGGGGAUAACGUAGCGAAAGUUACGCUAAUACCGCAUACGUUCUACGGAAGAAAGUGGGGGAUCUUCGGACCUCAUGCUUUUGGAGCGGCCGAUGUCUGAUUAGCUAGUUGGUGAGGUAAAGGCUCACCAAGGCGACGAUCAGUAGCUGGUCUGAGAGGACGACCAGCCACACUGGGACUGAGACACGGCCCAGACUCCUACGGGAGGCAGCAGUGGGGAAUUGUGGACAAUGGGCGCAAGCCUGAUCCAGCAAUGCCGCGUGAGUGAAGAAGGCCUUCGGGUUGUAAAGCUCUUUUGUCAGGGAAGAAACGGCUGGGGUUAAUACCCCUGGCUAAUGACGGUUCCUGAAGAAUAAGCACCGGCUAACUACGUGCCAGCCGCCGCAGUAA
RNAcentral lists this ribosomal RNA (498 nucleotides) under uncultured bacterium. RNAcentral describes it as "partial 16S ribosomal RNA". It matches the Rfam family "Bacterial small subunit ribosomal RNA", at positions 30 to 523 of the family's 1533-position model. The record is from RNAcentral.